Molecule: long non-coding RNA, 1422 nt
Organism: Juglans regia (Persian walnut)
Lineage: Eukaryota; Viridiplantae; Streptophyta; Magnoliopsida; Fagales; Juglandaceae
Exons: 3
Source: RefSeq, a predicted model, not a curated record
CUAGGACAGAGCUACUCCAAAGCUAUGGAUUUGAGCACAUGGGCACGCUGAAUAAUCUUGAAUAAGCUGGAUUGCUUAAAAAAAGGAGACAAAAAGCAACUGGCUGACAAUCAAACGUGCUCUGCAACUUGUGGUUGAUGAGACUAUAACACGGCCAAGUAUUUUUCCUUUUGAUCAUAGCUGAUAGCUUUUGGCUCUGCUCCCUAAUCGAGGGGUUGGUUUCAUAGCCUGCAUGUGUUACAUUUAUCACCGGACUUGUGCCUUUUGGACCUUUGGUAUAUAGUCCCAGAUUUCAAUGCAUGACACAAAUAUUGAGUCACUCACAUUAUUUAGGAAAACAUUACUCCCACCAACAAAAUCCACCGAUUGAGUUUUUUUUUUGUACUUAAUGGUUAAUGAAGUAUUUUUUAAUGAGUUCCUUUUUAAAAAAAAAAAAAAGUUUUGAGUUUUAAAAAAAAAUGGACAUUCGGUGGCUCCCCUCAGUGGGAGUAGCAGCACCCCAUUAUUUAUUCAACAUUCAGAGAUAUUCAUUAUGUGCCAUGUGGAACUAUAUAGCCUCGAAUUUCUCAAUGUGCAAACCAAAUAUUGGGGGAAUGAUGUGCACUGGACGGCAUCAUCGACAUUUUAUAAGAAUUAGCUACUUCAGCAGUUGAGAACAUACUUACUCGGUGGGCAGAAGCAUGUUCUGAUGGAAAUAUGUCCCAAUGGUAUUGCCUAUGUAUUCUCAGGAUAUGCACCUUAGUAUUCGUCUUGUUCAACAUGCCGUUCAAUCUGGAUGGUGAGGAUGAAUCUUUAUUUGCUAAAUUUCUUAGAAACUCUAGUUUUAAGCAAGAUAAUUUAUUGUUUUUAACUAAUCGGUUCUAUUUAGAAUGAAUCUUUUAGCAACCUGCUAGCUAUCUGAGAUUAAUGAAUGAAAAUUGCAAGAAUAGAUUGAAAGAAAGGGAUAAUCUCAUAAGAUUGGGAUUGAUUUGAGGUCAAUCCAACCUCCAAGUUUAGGGUUCAUACAAGCCAGAAAUUCUGCAUAAUAAAAUACCUCUCCCAUCUGAGUUCUACUUCUUAUAUAUGGGAUACCAAUUCCCUUCGAAAAUUAAAAUAACAGAAAGCAUUAAAAUGGAAAAUAAAGGAAUAAUUCAGGUAGUGUCAGAAUGUCUAUCCAAUGCUGUGAGAAAACUCGUAACCGACUGCUAUUCUAGAAUGUCCAAUAAAACAACCACAUAUUAGGAUGCCUUUAGCUCCGCUGCUCAGUCCUUCCAUAAGUUGAAAUGAUGCGUUGCAAGCCAAGGUACUUUCCAGCAAACGACGCCUUAUUACGAUAGGAUCAUAACAAAUUCCUCCCCUUAAAGAACCUUGUCCUCAAGGUUUAGAGCAUUGAUAGUUUUGGAAAUAAGCUGGCAGGUGAACCUUCCCACAAUUUCUUUUCAU